This 393-nucleotide long non-coding RNA is filed under the name Homo sapiens (human). RNAcentral describes it as "HSALNT0286477". Lineage: Eukaryota; Metazoa; Chordata; Mammalia; Primates; Hominidae. The record is from RNAcentral.
GUGCUGGCUAGAACCUGAAGUACAAUGUGGAAUAGAAAUGGCUUCCUGCAUUUCCUGGUCCAUGUCCUUCACCCUCCAUCUUUCAAAGCCAGCAAAGACCAGCAAUGUUUUGAAAAACACACAUAAUCCUUGGAUAAACAAGAAAAGAUGAUGAAUUGUAAGAAGAUAGUAAACUGUGGCCAAAGGCAAAAUCUUCUAUUAUCUAGCUAAAUGACCUCGAGCAAGUCUCUCCACCUCAGUUUCUUCGUCUCUAAAAUGUGGAAGGUUGAACUGACCACAGGUGAUCAGUGGUUUUCAAACUUUAAAAAAAAAUCCUUUCUUAAAAGUGUUUUCCAUGAAGUCUAAUAUUUAAAAAGAAUAAAAUAAAAUCUGAUCUGGUCCAGUAGAAGUAGG